This 274-nucleotide ribosomal RNA is filed under the name uncultured bacterium. RNAcentral's name for it is "partial 16S ribosomal RNA". It matches the Rfam family "Bacterial small subunit ribosomal RNA", at positions 524 to 794 of the family's 1533-position model. The record is from RNAcentral.
UACGGAGGAUGCGAGCGUUAUCCGGAUUUAUUGGGUUUAAAGGGUGCGCAGGCGGGAUUUUAAGUCAGCGGUGAAAUUUUCAGGCUCAACCUGAACACUGCCGUUGAAACUGGGAUUCUUGAGUAUGGAUGAAGUAGGCGGAAUUCGUUGUGUAGCGGUGACAUGCUUAGAUAUAACGAGGAACCCCGAUUGCGUAGGCAGCUUACUAAGCCACAACUGACGCUCAAGCACGAAAGACGUGGGGAGUCAAACAAGGAUUAGAUACCCCGUACGU